AACGAACGCUGGCGGCAUGCCUAACACAUGCAAGUCGAACGAUUGCCUUCGGGUGAUAGUGGCGCACGGGUGCGUAACGCGUGGGAAUCUGCCCUUAGGUUCGGAAUAACAGCUGGAAACGGCUGCUAAUACCGGAUGAUAUCGCGAGAUCAAAGAUUUAUCGCCUGAGGAUGAGCCCGCGUUGGAUUAGGUAGUUGGUGGGGUAAAGGCCUACCAAGCCGACGAUCCAUAGCUGGUCUGAGAGGAUGAUCAGCCACACUGGGACUGAGACACGGCCCAGACUCCUACGGGAGGCAGCAGUGGGCAAUAUUGGACAAUGGGCGCAAGCUUGAUCCAGCAAUGCCGCGUGAGUGAUGAAGGCCCUAGGGUUGUAAAGCUCUUUUACCCGGGAAGAUAAUGACUGUACCGGGAGAAUAAGCCCCGGCUAACUCCGUG
Molecule: ribosomal RNA, 435 nt
Filed under: uncultured bacterium
Lineage: Bacteria
Description: partial 16S ribosomal RNA
Rfam family: Bacterial small subunit ribosomal RNA
Source: RNAcentral